RNAcentral lists this long non-coding RNA (4215 nucleotides) under Fragaria vesca (wild strawberry). Its description in RNAcentral is "long non-coding RNA (FVES_LNC005348)". The record is from RNAcentral. Lineage: Eukaryota; Viridiplantae; Streptophyta; Magnoliopsida; Rosales; Rosaceae.
AACACAAUAUUAUAAAUUAAUUAACAUAUAUAUAUAUAUAUAUAUAUAUCUAUUAGCUACUUAUAAUUAACGUACAACAACUUCAUAUAUAUUAUCAAAUCAUCAACCAAAUUGAUCAACACACAUAUAUAUAUACAUCAAACGUACUUAAAAUCUAUCAAUUCAAUCACACUCAAAAUCGAUCAAUAACUCAAAUAAAACUCAAAAUCAACAUAUAUAUACAUGUACGUACCUAUAUAUAGCUCCACUUCUUAAUUAUGGACAGAUUUCAACAACACCCAAACUUUUUUCUCUCUUUUUUUUCUCUCCCGUUUUUUUUUUCUCAGAUGAGCUGCUGUCCAGAUCUGCGAAUAUAAAGAACUUUAGCCGACGAAAAUAUAAUUUAGCCGACGAAGGAAAAUUUCACUUUAGCCGACGAAAAAUUGAUUCGUCGGCCUGGUUUUUUUUUUUCGUCAGCUAAAGUCUUUCUUCUGGUAGUGCAUUACCCCUAUAUGAAUUCUUAUGGAUUUAAGAAUUCAUACAGGGUUAUUACGCUCGUCCCACGCUCACGUCACACCAUAACGGCGGCUAAUCGCUACAUCAUUAUGGCAGAAAGACACGUAUGACUAGCUAGCAUUUACAUACAUACUAUCUUUAUAAAUAUAAAUAUAUAUAUAUAACCAUCGAAAAUCUCAUUUUCGGUAACUCUCCAAAUUAAUGAAAAUUGCUAAUUAUAAAUGAAAGCAAUAUGUUCCAGUAAAAAGAAGUUGAUCAUCGAAACAAUCCAUUGUAUGCAUUUAAUUAAAAACAAAAGUCCACUCACAGUAUACGGCUAAGCCUCCCGUCGAUCCGAGGUCUCCUCAGUACGAGCCUCCUCACGUCAUGUUCAAAAGAUACUAUUAAGUUUCGAUCCCAAUUUUAAAACAUAGAAUUAACAAGAAUAAACGUGAGCCUAAAUCGUUCUCCCUAGCUUACUUCCCAAAUUCUAAACGUGUUUGAGCCAAACCCUUGCAUAAUCCUUGACAUAAUAUUUUGAUGGAUUUAAGCUAAUUUCGAAGUCACCCCAACAACCAGUUUAUCGUCUAACAACCGACAAGUUAACCAAUCUUCGAUUAAUCCCAAAUCUAAUGAAAACUCCUCCAACACUCACAAACUUAACAUUAAUAAAAUCCUCUCUUCAAAUACAACCUAUAGAGCUCGAAAAACCACUUCGACAUGGCGGAGCCGCCGUCUGCACCCCCGGCUGCAGCGGCCGGCUACCACAAAAUUCUGGCCACCUCAUAUGCCUACCAAUUUUAGCAGCACAAUCUACUCAACACGCACUACAACUUCCUUAACUAACACAAACAUCAAUUUCAAGUCUAAAUAGGGUAAUCGAAUCAAAACUGUAAAAAUCCCAAUUUCAUAAACCCUAGAAUUUCAAACAAUCGAUUCUCCUUACCUAAUGCGAAUUGGUUUGAUUCCUUCUAGGGAAUUGAUACACAAGUGAAGACCGCCAAAACCAUAUAAAGAGUUCUCCGAUUGGUGGCCGGUGAAGAGAGAUUCCGGCAAAAACAGCCGAUUGCACAGACUGAACUUCUUGCCGUGAUAUCCUCCAAACGACGGCAAGAGGGACGCUACCACCAACCCAGAAAGAGAGAAGAGGUGACGGCGAAUCGAUUGGGCUUGGCACGGCAGUUUGAGUUGGUCGGACGGUGGAGAUCGUCGGCGGCGAAUCGCUGGCAGAGGGAGAGAGACACUACUGGAAAAUAACACUUAGGCGACGGAAUUAAAAAAUUCCGUCUCCUAAGUGGUACUUAAGCGAUAGAAUUUUCUACUUAAGCGACGAAACAGUUUCCGUCUCCUAAGUUGUUCUUAGGAGACAAAAUAUUUCGAUUUCGUCUCCUAAGAACGACUUAGGCGACGGAAUGAAAUUCCGUCACUUAAGUACUACUUAGGAGAUGAAAUAUUUUUACUUAGACGACGGCAUUUUGAAAAAAAUAAUAUGAAUCACUUAGGAGACGAAAUUACAUUCCGUAGCCUAAGUAGAACUUAGGAGACAGAAAUGUUUACUUAGGAGACGGAAUCUUUUUUUUAAAAAAAAUAAAAAAAUUAUGAAUCACUUAGACGACGGAAAUAGAACAUUCCGUCGCUUAAGUUCUAAAAAUUUGAGCGUCCAUCUUCCCGUGUAAAAUUUCAUUAAAAUUCAAACCAAAAUUUUUCAAAACAUAUCAAUUCUUUUAAAUCACACACUCACCAACCUUAUCAAUAGAAGGAAACCCAUCUUUUCCUAGAGCUCUCUCUCUCUCUCUCUCUCUCUCUCUCUAGACCACCACUCUUAUGCUGGCCUCUCUCUCCAUUCUCACUGCUCCUUCCUCCGCCGCCACUUUCAACUGCACCACCCCCACCAACGCCACCUCCAACUUCGUCCCCACAAAUGCCACCACUCUCAAAGCCGUCAAGACCCUCUUCAACAUCACCCGGACACCUCCGCACCCUCCUCGGAGCCAACAACCUCCCCCUCUCGACCCGACCUGACUCACCCGUCCUCGCCGCCAACAAGCUCCUCGUCCCUUUCUCUUGCACCAUGCCUUAGAUCUGGGUCACCUUUCUCUCUCACCCGACUCACCCGCCCCCGCCGCCGUCAAGACGCCGCUGUUGCCACCUUUUUCUCUCUACCAAGCCUUCUCACCGACCCACCACUGUCCCUCAAAAUUUCAAAGGGGUAAGAAAUCAAGGUAAGUUCUUCCAUUUUUCUGGUUUAAUUAGCUUUUGUGAUAGAUUUAUGUGUUUUUGUUUAAUUUGAUUUUUGAUUUUAAUUUUGGUUAGGAUGUGAUUGAUAUGAUGGUGGUGGCAUGGUGAUUAUUUGGUACAGUGGUGGUGGUGGUGGUAUAUUUGAGGCAGAUUGUUAACAUGAAUUGAAAGAGAGAUAUUGUAUUAAAGUUUACUGACCCCCAGUAGAAGUCUAUUGGGGGUCAGUAAACUUCCACUAGGUUUACUAGGGAGCAAUGAAUUUGUUUAUUAGUGUAAGAAUGGGUAUCUGUUGUGUAUAAUUGACAUGAAAUUGAAAGGAAGAUAUUGUAUUUAAGUUUACUGAGCCGCAGUAGAAGUUUACUGGGGGGCAGUAAACUUCCACUGGGUUUAUUAGAGGGCAAUGAAUUUGUUUAUUAGGGUAAGAAUGAGUAUCUGUUGUGUAUAAUUAGCAUGAAAUUGAAAGGAAGAUAUUGUAUUGAAGUUUACUGACCUCCAGUGGAAGUUUACUGCGUAGAAGUUUACUAGGGGGCAGUAAACUUCCACUAGGUUUACUAGGGGGCAAUGAAUUUGUUUAUUAGGGUAAGAAUGAGUAUAUGUUAUGUAUAAUUGGCAUGAAAUUGAAAGGAAAAUAUUAUAUUGAAUUUUACUGACCCCUAGUAGAAGUUUACUGAUUGGUUUUUUUUUUUUAAAUUUUUUUUCACCUUUAGCGACGGAAUUCAACUAUUCCGUCUCCUAAGUGGAUAAUUUUUUUUUAAUUGUAAAAUAAAAUCCAUCACCUAGGUGCUUAGGAGACGAAAGUAUUCCGUCUCUUAAGAACCACUUAGGCGACAGAAUUUUAGGUUCUGUCGCCUAACUGCCUACCUCACCACACCUAGGCGACGGAUCUUAGUCGACGGACGUUUGGUCUCCUAAGUACUUAGGAGACGAAAUUUGUCACUUAGGAGACGAAAUAAUUCCGUCUCCUAAGUGCUUUUUUCCAGUAGUGAGAGAGAGAGGAGAGAGAGAAAGAGUUGGGCUUUUAAUUCAGCUUCCCCAUCUGGAAACUUCUAAUAAACGAAAGUUUCCCAAUAUAAACCCAACCACAAAUAGAAAUUUACCCUAGUUUUUUUUUACCUACAUCCCAAAACAAACGUAACUCACAUCUACAACUUCGUUUUAUCGUCUUUUACGACUUCCCUUAAGGAAAAAAAAUCUCGUAAUAGUCAUCAUAAAAAAAAAAACAAAAGUUGUCUCUAGGGUCCUUUGAAAUUAUAAGACCAUUAACAAAGGCAGUAAAAACUCAAAGUAACACAAUGUAAGUAAUUAGGGUAAUAUUAAGUGUCAGGAUGUGACAAAACAUCACAAACAAUCAAGUUUUCCUACAUAUAAUAUAGUUUAUUACCCCUAGUAAACUGUUUUAGUGGUAUUAACUAGUUUUAAACCAACAAAGAAUAUCAUUUCACGUUUAUUUACCCCUAUCAAAUAUGUUGAUUCAGUUUCAUAUUGCAAAGAAAUAAAGUUUAC